GAGGGUAUAGCUCAGUGGUAGAGUGCAUGCUUAGCAUGCAUGAGGUCCUGGGUUUGAUCCCCAGCACCGCCA
Molecule: transfer RNA, 72 nt
Filed under: Camelus bactrianus (Bactrian camel)
Lineage: Eukaryota; Metazoa; Chordata; Mammalia; Artiodactyla; Camelidae
Also listed under: 2 other names
Rfam family: tRNA
About the family: Transfer RNA (tRNA) molecules are approximately 80 nucleotides in length. Their secondary structure includes four short double-helical elements and three loops (D, anti-codon, and T loops).
Source: Rfam by way of RNAcentral